RNAcentral lists this non-coding RNA (53 nucleotides) under unclassified sequences. RNAcentral's name for it is "Na+-I sequence". It matches the Rfam family "Na+ riboswitch aptamer (DUF1646)". From Rfam's summary of the family: Proteobacteria, NC10, Acidobacteria, Verrucomicrobia. Lineage (Clostridia) The riboswitch of Na+ was first reported in a comparative analysis of intergenic regions and called DUF1646 RNA, it was also suggested that it acts as cis-reg RNA present upstream of Na+ genes. The record is from Rfam by way of RNAcentral.
GGUUGGCAGCCCGUCCGGGCUGUUCAAGAUUUGAGCUUGUUGGGUGGAGAGCU